CUCAAACUAUAUUUAGCAUUAGUUAGACCUCAUCUUGACUAUGCGGUUCAGUUCUGGUCACCCUACUAUAGAAUGGAUAUCAAAAUGUUAGAAUCGGUGCAGAGGAGGAUGACUAAGAUGAUUCAGGGGUUGAGAAACUUGCCAUACGAGGAAAGACUCAAACAGUUAAACUUGCAUUCUCUAGAAAGGCGAAGGGUGCGUGGAGACAUGAUCGAGGUUUAUAAAUGGAUGAAGUGCUUUAAUAAGGGAGACAUUCAUAAGGUUUUGUUGGUAAGAGAACCGGGUAGGACACGAAGUAAUGGGUUUAAACUGGAUAAAUUCAGAUUCAACAGGGACAUAGGCAAAAAUUGGUUUACUAACAGGGUGGUGGAUGAGUGGAAUAGGCUUAGCAGUCAUGUGGUGAGUGCCAAUACAAUUGUCACAUUCAAAAAUAGACUAGAUAAAUUCAUGGACAGCGAUAUUAG
This is a long non-coding RNA of Eriocheir sinensis (Chinese mitten crab), 464 nucleotides long. RefSeq lists it as uncharacterized. NCBI's taxonomy places the organism in Eukaryota, Metazoa, Arthropoda, Malacostraca, Decapoda, Varunidae. The record is from RefSeq and is a predicted model, not a curated record. The transcript is spliced from 3 exons.